AAACAAGAUAAAAGCUAACAUUAAACCUUAACAGUAAAUGAGAAAAGUGUUUCAAUUAACUCUUCCAAAAUUUCUACAUAUUUACAUAUUUUAGUCUCAAAGAAAACCAUAGCUUCUGCUCAAGCAAAAACAAUAUCACAGUAACAAUCCACAAAUGAAUACAGUAUCAAAAUCCAAGUACAUGAAAUGAAAUAAACCAGAUUGAAUCAAAAAUUUCAAAACAACACAAAUUAAUUCCAUACUCACACACAUCCUCUAACAGGAACUC
This 268-nucleotide long non-coding RNA is filed under the name Lathyrus oleraceus (garden pea). RNAcentral describes it as "Pisum sativum (pea) long non-coding RNA (PSAT_LNC035781)". The record is from RNAcentral. Lineage: Eukaryota; Viridiplantae; Streptophyta; Magnoliopsida; Fabales; Fabaceae.